Molecule: ribosomal RNA, 495 nt
Filed under: uncultured bacterium
Lineage: Bacteria
Description: partial 16S ribosomal RNA
Rfam family: Bacterial small subunit ribosomal RNA
Source: RNAcentral
GACGAACGCUGGCGGCGUGCCUAAUACAUGCAAGUAGAACGCUGAAGGAGGAGCUUGCUUCUCUGGAUGAGUUGCGAACGGGUGAGUAACGCGUAGGUAACCUGCCUGGUAGCGGGGGAUAACUAUUGGAAACGAUAGCUAAUACCGCAUAAGAGUAGAUGUCGCAUGACAUUUGCUUAAAAGGUGCAAUUGCAUCACUACCAGAUGGACCUGCGUUGUAUUAGCUAGUUGGUGAGGUAACGGCUCACCAAGGCAACGAUACAUAGCCGACCUGAGAGGGUGAACGGCCACACUGGGACUGAGACACGGCCCAGACUCCUACGGGAGGCAGCAGUAGGGAAUCUUCGGCAAUGGACGGAAGUCUGACCGAGCAACGCCGCGUGAGUGAAGAAGGUUUUCGGAUCGUAAAGCUCUGUUGUAAGAGAAGAACGAGUGUGAGAGUGGAAAGUUCACACUGUGACGGUAUCUUACCAGAAAGGGACGGCUAACUACGUG